This 482-nucleotide ribosomal RNA is filed under the name uncultured bacterium. RNAcentral's name for it is "partial 16S ribosomal RNA". It matches the Rfam family "Bacterial small subunit ribosomal RNA", at positions 30 to 507 of the family's 1533-position model. The record is from RNAcentral.
AUUGAACGCUGGCGGCAUGCUUUACACAUGCAAGUCGAACGGUAACAGGCCGCUAGGUGCUGACGAGUGGCGAACGGGUGAGUAAUGCAUCGGAACGUGCCCAGUCGUGGGGGGUAACUAGUCGAAAGAGUAGCUAAUACCGCAUACGAUCUAUGGGGGAGAGCGGGGGACCGUAAGGGCUCGCGCGAUUGGAGCGGCCGAUGUCAGAUUAGGUAGUUGGUGGGGUAAAGGCUCACCAAGACAACGAUCUGUAGCUGGUCUGAGAGGACAACCAGCCACACUGGAACUGAGACACGGCCCAGACUCCUACGGGAGGCAGCAGUGGGGAAUUUUGGACAAUGGGCGCAAGCCUGAUCCAGCAAUGCCGCGUGCAGGAAGAAGGCCUUCGGGUUGUAAACUGCUUUUGUACGGAACGAAACGGCUCUGGUUAAUACCCGGGGCUAAUGACGGUACCGUAAGAAUAAGCACCGGCUAACUACGUG